CCUGACGCUGGGAGGAGAUGCUGCCACCUAGGUUACUUGUAGGACCCUAUACGGCAACCUCCUUUGCCAGGAACUAUUUAUAAACAUCCUGCAGGAAAAUGCAGUGAAGUAGAAGAGACAGGGAUAUCCCAGAAGGUUAUGCAAAACAUCAAGAGAAGAUGAGAGGAGUCUAUAUGUCAGAAUACACAUUUCCCACCUUGCCCAACAGUAGAAAAACAUAAGAAGAGAAAAACAUUAAAAAAUGACAAGGAAGUUAAUGGAAGCAAUGUGAUGGUGUUUGGAGGUGGAGCCUUCAGAAGGUAAUUAAUGCCCUUGUAAGAAGAGGCCAGAGAGCUUGCGCACCUUCUUCCUGCCAUGUGAGGAGCCAAGAAGCCGGCUGUCUGCAACCUGCAAGAGGACCCUCACUAGAAGCUAGCCAUACUGGCAUCCUCAUCUUGGCUUUCCAACUUCCAGAACUGUGAGAAGUAUAUGUUUGUGGUUUAGUCAAUGGUCUAUGGUAAUUUUUUUAUAGCAGUCCCAGCCAAGACAGUGCCUCAUUUACUACAUACCAUUUAUAUUAUUAUAUAGGCUCCUUUCAGAAACCCAUGUUCAAAUAAGAGAUAAGAUACUGAAACACAUAACACCUUCACUAGUUUUUAGUAUACAAAUAUUGAGAAAUA
RNAcentral lists this long non-coding RNA (659 nucleotides) under Homo sapiens (human). RNAcentral describes it as "MRPS30 divergent transcript". The record is from RNAcentral. Lineage: Eukaryota; Metazoa; Chordata; Mammalia; Primates; Hominidae.